This 72-nucleotide transfer RNA is filed under the name Diaphorina citri (Asian citrus psyllid). It matches the Rfam family "tRNA". From Rfam's summary of the family: Transfer RNA (tRNA) molecules are approximately 80 nucleotides in length. Their secondary structure includes four short double-helical elements and three loops (D, anti-codon, and T loops). Lineage: Eukaryota; Metazoa; Arthropoda; Insecta; Hemiptera; Psyllidae. The record is from Rfam by way of RNAcentral.
GCUCCCAUGGCGUAGUGGUCACUGCGCUCGCCUUGCAAGCGGGAGAUCCGGGAUCGAUUCCCGGCGGGGUCA